Vicugna pacos (alpaca) is the source of this 273-nucleotide non-coding RNA. NCBI's taxonomy places the organism in Eukaryota, Metazoa, Chordata, Mammalia, Artiodactyla, Camelidae. The record is from RefSeq and is a predicted model, not a curated record.
GGACUCGCGGGCUGGGAGAGGGGAAGGGGACGCCAGCCGCGGACUGAGGGGAGCCCGGCUGAGGCGAGAGGUGGCAGUUGCACACCUGGCUCUGGACAGCUGUGGUCGGGGAACCGGGGCAGGAGCCAAAGGUCUACUGGGCGACAGAGCUGAGAAGCCUUUGGGGCCGAUCCCAGGCUCGGAGCUGGAGCUUUCAACCCGCGGUCCAGCUGGCACUGACUGCGCAUGCGCAGGAGGGCCAGCGAUCCUCUGGGUUCUGCCGAAGAUGAAUGU